GUCUACGGCCAUGCCAUCCUGAACAAGCCCGAUCCCGUCUGAUCUCGGAAGCUAAUCAGGGUCAAGCCUGGUUAGUACUUGGAUGGGAAACCACCUAGGAAGACCAGGUGCUGUAAGUG
RNAcentral lists this ribosomal RNA (119 nucleotides) under Pteropus alecto (black flying fox). Lineage: Eukaryota; Metazoa; Chordata; Mammalia; Chiroptera; Pteropodidae. The record is from RNAcentral.